AGUAUUAUACUUAAACCUGAAUUUAUCUGUUAAACGUAAUAUGAACAUUUCACGUCGCUUUAUCCCUUGACAUGUUAUAUGGCAUCAGUCCAGCAGAACAAAGCGGUGGCGCUGCGAAGAUGAUAUAAAUCAAAUGCGCGUGCGCUACUGCUGUCACGCGGAGUACGUACUCAGCACGGAGUAAGGACAGAGCACGCCGAAACACGGACACACGUUACCUCAUAUCUUUAUAAAGUUUAUACCACGUCUAGGAAUCGUUUUAUGGGAUAUUUUAACCUAAUGAGCACAUCUGGAGAUGGUUGUUGGCAUUCUCGGAGGUGUAGCCGCGAUGUGAUGGUUGGCAGCGGUACACGGCGCCCGGACGUUGAACGUUCUCCACGCGAUAGGGCUCGUCCUCUGGAGCCCCCACCAGUAUCCUACAAAGAAAAGCUGAUUAACAAACAGGCAACUUCCAUUCUUCAUUUAGAUAUUGACAGAACAACAAAAGUAGGGUCACAACUCAUUCGUAUUUGAUCUGCAUUCCAAUAGUAUCGACUCUAUAUUGUUACUGUGCAGUUAACAUUAAGUUAAAUCACCAAUUUUAUUAACAAUGAAUUGUCGGUAACCGAUUUAUAUUCACACAAUACGGUAUAACUGUGUCAAGAAUGAAUUCUGUGCACGAAUUCGUUGCGAAAUGUAUUUGCAUUAAUAUGAGAACGAAAGCAUUAUGGAAGCGGAUGUACCGCUAUCGUAAUAAUAUUAUAUCUUCGGAUUAUUUCGGCACUCCAAAAGCGGCAGCCAUAACCAUCAAUUCAAUUAUUGUGUUAUGACUUACGUUCAGUUCUUUCGUUUUAAAUAUUGAAUAUAAUAUUAUUCUGAUUGGUUUGAGAGCGGCUUCCGAUAGAUUUACAUAUCUGCAUAUACAUAUUUAUUAUUUACGUAAGUUAUGUAAUCUCCAGGUCGAUAUUAAUUUGAAAUAUGACUUAUUUCUUUCGGUCGGUAACAGUUUUUCCGCUGUGGUACAAUAUAAUGUUUUAACAUAAAUUCUUAACACGCCUUGAAUAACUUAUACGUAUAUUUUUUUAAUUAAAUAAUAAGGCUUGUAAGUAGUGAUGAAGAAGACGAUGAAUAAGGUCAAACAAUGGUAUAGAUGGUGAAGGCUGGCUGCGUGCCAGCACGCAAAUAGACGGAGUUCAAUCCCCGGCUGGGCAAACACUCGCCAAAUUAUAUUUCUAUAAGUCUGACUCAUUUUGGACACUAAAUUAAUACAACUUUGAUAUCCGAGACAUGGAUACGAAAAGCGUUAAAUGGGUUAUUGAAUGUAACAAACAAAUCGCAGGCAAUAGCGUUGUUGGCGACACAGAACGUUAUAUUUGCAACAUGCAAACAAGUUGCCAAUUAGAAAUACGAUUUUAUUUUUAACUACACGCUGUUUCCAAUUUAUUAUACUUAAUAUUGUGAAUAAAUUUAUUUUAAAGGGCUCGGUAAAAAGGUUCCUACGUGACAUGUCUUCAUAUUGUAGGAUGUGGCAAGCGACAACGAUAUUUCGGUCUCCGGAAGGGGGACUAUUUUCAGAAUCGUCUCACCUUUAGAGUUGUCGCACUGGCGAAAUAUAACAAAUGAGAUGUUACUAUUUAGUUAAGUAAUAUUUAAAAGUGAUUUUUAUUUUUUCUCUGAAAUAUUAUGUUAUUUUUGACAGAAAUGUUGUUUUUCUGUCAAUUCAAUUACAUCAUUUGACGUCAAUUUUGAAGAAUAAUGAAUAAUGGUCCUGUAUGACUUUACCAGUGAAGUAAUGGAAAUGAUUACCCUGUGCCCAGUAAUUAUGAUUUGUCAAGUGUACGUGACAAGUCUAAUACGAAAGAUUUUGAGUCACAAAAUGACUGACUCAUAAUGUCUCAGUGUUUGAUGCCAAGACGCCACCUCGUUUAUAUUUAUAUAUUAUAUUUUUGUUUUCAUCAUAACAUUUUAGCGAAUUGGUGUUUUAUUUACAAGUUUAGAAACAAUCUAUUGUAGAGCUGGCGUAGACAUUUCAUUAUUAAUGCAUCAAAUAAAAAAUAAAACCAUUACUCAUUUC
Danaus plexippus (monarch butterfly) is the source of this 2053-nucleotide long non-coding RNA. RefSeq lists it as uncharacterized. The transcript is spliced from 2 exons. The record is from RefSeq and is a predicted model, not a curated record. Lineage: Eukaryota; Metazoa; Arthropoda; Insecta; Lepidoptera; Nymphalidae.